Molecule: ribosomal RNA, 253 nt
Filed under: uncultured bacterium
Lineage: Bacteria
Description: partial 16S ribosomal RNA
Rfam family: Bacterial small subunit ribosomal RNA
Source: RNAcentral
UACGUAGGGGGCAAGCGUUGUCCGGAAUCAUUGGGCGUAAAGCGCGUGUAGGCGGCUUGGUAAGUCUGUUCUGAAAGCCCGGGGCUCAACCCCGGGAGGCGGAUGGAUACUGUCAAGCUCGAGUCCGGAAGAGGUGGGUGGAAUUCCUGGUGUAGCGGUGAAAUGCGCAGAUAUCAGGAGGAACACCAAUGGCGAAGGCAGCCCACUGGGGCGUGACUGACGCUGAGACGCGAAAGCGUGGGGAGCAAACAGG